This 508-nucleotide ribosomal RNA is filed under the name uncultured bacterium. RNAcentral's name for it is "bacterial SSU rRNA". It matches the Rfam family "Bacterial small subunit ribosomal RNA", at positions 9 to 499 of the family's 1533-position model. The record is from RNAcentral.
GAGUUUGAUCCUGGCUCAGGAUGAACGCUGGCGGCGUGCCUAAUACAUGCAAGUCGAGCGAACAGAUAAGGAGCUUGCUCCUUUGACGUUAGCGGCGGACGGGUGAGUAACACGUGGGUAACCUACCUAUAAGACUGGAAUAACUCCGGGAAACCGGGGCUAAUGCCGGAUAAUAUUUAGAACCGCAUGGUUCUAAAGUGAAAGAUGGUUUUGCUAUCACUUAUAGAUGGACCCGCGCCGUAUUAGCUAGUUGGUGGGGUAAUGGCUUACCAAGGCAACGAUACGUAGCCGACCUGAGAGGGUGAUCGGCCACACUGGAACUGAGACACGGUCCAGACUCCUACGGGAGGCAGCAGUAGGGAAUCUUCCGCAAUGGGCGAAAGCCUGACGGAGCAACGCCGCGUGAGUGAUGAAGGUCUUCGGAUCGUAAAACUCUGUUAUUAGGGAAGAACAAAUGUGUAAGUAACUGUGCACGUCUUGACGGUACCUAAUCAGAAAGCCACGGCUA